GCUGCAUGGAUUUGGAAUCUAACAACAUUUUAGACACACAACUUGUUCAGUCCAAUGAAGUGACCAACUCUGGAGCAAUGGAACUUGAGGAAUUAAAAAGAUGUCUGGCAAAGUUUGAUGAAAGUGGGAUGAAGGUUAAGUCAAUGACCACAGACAGACAUGCUCAAAUCAAAUCCUACAUGUCAAAACAAAGACCAAAAAUCGAGCACUACUUUGAUGUAUGGCAUGUAG
Long non-coding RNA from Xenia sp. Carnegie-2017, 231 nucleotides. RefSeq lists it as uncharacterized. Lineage: Eukaryota; Metazoa; Cnidaria; Anthozoa; Malacalcyonacea; Xeniidae. The transcript has 2 exons. The record is from RefSeq and is a predicted model, not a curated record.